UUAAAUUGAAGAGUUUGAUCAUGGCUCAGAUUGAACGCUGGCGGCAGGCCUAACACAUGCAAGUCGAACGGUAGCA
RNAcentral lists this ribosomal RNA (76 nucleotides) under Salmonella enterica subsp. enterica serovar Infantis. RNAcentral's name for it is "partial 16S ribosomal RNA". It matches the Rfam family "Bacterial small subunit ribosomal RNA", at positions 1 to 74 of the family's 1533-position model. RNAcentral also lists the same sequence under 6 other names. The record is from RNAcentral. Lineage: Bacteria; Pseudomonadati; Pseudomonadota; Gammaproteobacteria; Enterobacterales; Enterobacteriaceae.